This 273-nucleotide ribosomal RNA is filed under the name uncultured Acidothermus sp. RNAcentral describes it as "partial 16S ribosomal RNA". It matches the Rfam family "Bacterial small subunit ribosomal RNA", at positions 524 to 796 of the family's 1533-position model. Lineage: Bacteria; Bacillati; Actinomycetota; Actinomycetes; Acidothermales; Acidothermaceae. The record is from RNAcentral.
UACGUAGGGUGCGAGCGUUGUCCGGAUUUAUUGGGCGUAAAGGGCUCGUAGGCGGCUUGUCGCGUCUGCUGUGAAAUCCCGGGGCUUAACCCCGGGCGUGAAGUGGAUACGGGCAGGCUGGAGGCAGGCAGGGGAGAACGGAAUUCCCGGUGUAGCGGUGAAAUGCGCAGAUAUCGGGAGGAACACCGGUGGCGAAGGCGGUUCUCUGGGCCUUACCUGACGCUGAGGAGCGAAAGCGUGGGGAGCGAACAGGAUUAGAAACCCGCGUAGUCC